Molecule: non-coding RNA, 451 nt
Organism: Pseudonaja textilis
Lineage: Eukaryota; Metazoa; Chordata; Lepidosauria; Squamata; Elapidae
Source: RefSeq, a predicted model, not a curated record
UCAAAAUAAUAUGGAAAGGACAGAAGAGGAAAAGAGGUAGAUGGACGGUAAAUGCACAAAUUCUAAAAGAAAAAGAAUACAUCCAAAAAAUCUUGGAAGAAUUUGAAUAAUUUCUCAAAGAUAAUAAAAAACAGAAUACCUCAUUACAAAACCUAUGGGACACAAUGAAGGCACAUUUGAGAGUGAUAACAAUAGCCUAUAUGACAAAAAGAAAUAAAAAAUGGGGAAAUUACAAUAUAUUAGUGGGGGAGAUAAAGGAAUUAGAAGAUAAAUUACAAAAAGAACAGGGGAAAGAACAAAUUAAAAACAAAUUGGCCCUAACAAAACACAAGCGGAACAUUUUAGAGCAAGAAGAAUUAGCAAGAAAUUUAAAAUAUACAAAACAAAAUAACUUUGAACAUGCAAAUAAACCAGGUAGAUGGUUAGCAUAUAAAUUGAGAAAGGAGAAAGA